GGCAAAUGUAUAUGAGUUUGUAUAUGGGUACUAACCUAAGCUAAUAUUUUCAUUCAUUUAUAUAAAACCUUAUAGCUUCUAAUUUCUAUUCACUACCACAAAAUGUGGAAUAAGCAACACAUAAUACACAACGGUCAAGUUACAUAGGCGAUCUCUAGAAUUCUAUAUAUCGCCUAUGUAAGAUGAGCGUUUUUUAUGUGAAAAUUAUAGAACGCCUCCCUUAGUUAACUGUUCUAUUUGAUAUAUCAAAAUUUUACACUAUGCAAUAUAGAACGCCCCUCUCCAUUAAUCGUUCUAUAUGUGUUUAACAUAAUUAAAAAUAAAUAUAAAAAACAAAAACAAAAACAAAUUAAAAACCUAACCCUAACUCUUUCUCAUUCCUCUCCGGCCGUCCCCUUCACUUCCCUCUCCUCUCAUUUCCCUUCUCGCUCUUCAUUCCCUUCUCUAAGAUCUAAAACUCCUUACCUCACUCCCCUAACUACUCUUACUCCCUCAACCACCAUCAAAAUUAAUCACCACCGUCAUCAUCAUAGAUCGCCACCAACAAGCUGUUGUGCGCAGUACCCACCAACGCUCACCCACUAAAACCCCACUUUUCGCAGCGGCCACCAACGGCCAACAAGCUGCUGUACCCCGUCUUGCUACUUCGUGCUACAUCCCACAACAUCAGCCACCACCCAGAUCGAACACUACACCACAUAAUCGACUUCCCUCAGACCCUCCCUCGCCAUUGCUGCACCGCAUCUCCCUCACACCGAAAGUCGUCUACUACUGUUGUCUAAAUUUUCUAUUAGUGUAUCUUCUUCUCGUAAACCAUUGGAUGAUUUUUGGGUGGUUUCGUUUGCGAAAUUCCGAUCGUGAUUUUUAAGGUGGUUUGAAUGAUGCCCUGGUUCGAUUAAACCAUCGAAUCUCUGUUUUUCUCUGUUUUGAGCAACUUGUUGCGGGUUGACUUGUGUUUGGCGUUGUUGAGCUGGCUAGUGGUUGCAAACGGUGGUGUACUGGCGUUCCUUCUCUUUCCUCUCAAGCUAGCCGUCGUCAUUCAUCAAUUCGUGUUUUUGGUGGUAUUCAUAUGAUGAUUUUUAUCUCUAAUUUCAAUCCAAGUUUUUGAUAUUAUUCUAAUUCAGAUUUCUGAUUUUAAUUUUGAAAUUUGGUUUUCUCAAUUAUUAUUUUAGAUUUCAAUCUGCUAGUCUUAUCAUUUGUUGUUUUAAAUGUUUUUUCACAUAUUAAAGUGGAAAUUUGUUGGACAACCGCAAGCUUGACACAAUCUGCAUUGAUUUUCUUCUCUAAAUCCACAAUUGUUAGCACAUUCAUAAUUGAUUAUUAGUUGUAUUAGAGAACUUGUAAUGUAAUUUUUUUCUCAAUGAAUUCAGUUACUCCAUAAUAUUGUAAUUGAAAUACAUGUAUUUUAAAGUUAUUGUUA
Long non-coding RNA from Chenopodium quinoa (quinoa), 1420 nucleotides. RefSeq lists it as uncharacterized. The transcript has 2 exons. The record is from RefSeq and is a predicted model, not a curated record. NCBI's taxonomy places the organism in Eukaryota, Viridiplantae, Streptophyta, Magnoliopsida, Caryophyllales, Amaranthaceae.